ACAGCAGUUACCUUUUAUAGGUUUCAUUUACUUACUACUACAGCUUAACCAAUAUAGUCUUGCGGUACAACUUAACAGCUCAAAUUAAAAUAACAAAACGGAAAUAUCUAAUUUAAAUCAUAUCCAUGCAAUCGGGUUGACAGGACCCGUUUGCGUUUGCGCUCCAGCCGACGAUCCGGCAUCCUCACGUUCUCCUCGCUUGGGGUUUCUCGAUCUCCAUUUCCUCCAGUCGACGAUUCCGGCGACAACAGCUCCAACUGUCGGUGAGCUUCUUCAAUAAUCUUCACUUUACAGGUAUCGUCUCUAUCAUCUCCCUCUUUCUUAGAUUCAACCUUGUCCUCAAGGUUAGAUGAAGAAUAUAAUUUCUUCAAAUUAUUUAUGUCUUCCCAGGAUGUUUCUUCUCUGUUCAGUCUUGUCCACCGCACCAGAGCUUCCUCGAUUUGUCUUCCUUUUCCCAGUAGUAUUCUGCGUUCAAUCACCUCUUCUGGAUAUAUCACCGGUUCAUUGUUCACAGCUAGUUCCGGCAUUGCUCCAAUCUCUUCAGGAGGUAUUUUACCUUUGUAUUUCUUUAACAUAUACACAUGAAAUACAUUAUGUAUUAGUGAAUUGCUAGGUAAUUGUACCUUGUAUGCGACCUUGCUGUUUUUUUUUCUAUUUGAUAUGGUCCAUAGAACCUAGUUGACAAUUUGUGAUGUAGUAUGUGGGCUAUUGAAAUCUGUCUAUAAGGUUUCAACUUCACAAAUACCCACUCCCCUUCAGUAAAUUCGAUGUUUUCUCUGUGACGAUCAGCUUGAAUUUUCAUCCUCUCCUUAGCCUUCUCCAUAUUCGUCUUCACCAAUUCUAAAAUUUCUUGUCUUCUCAAGGUUUCUUCUUCAGCUUAUAAGUUAGGGGAAUUUUCUUUGAUUACUUCAACAAAAGAGUUUGCCUCUUUACCAUAUAAUGCCAUGAAAGGAGUCAUUCCAAUUGAUAUAUUAAAUGUAGAAUUAUACCAUAAUUCCGCCCAAGGAAGAAGUUCUAACCAUCUCUUUGGAGCCUCAUGAACCAAGCAUCUUAAGAACAUCUCUAUUCCUUUGUUUGUAACUUCAGUUUACCCAUCUUUCUCUGGGUGGUAAACUGAUGAUAAUUUGAGUGUUGUUCCACUCAGCUUAUUUAAUUUUCUCUAGAACCCACUAGUGAACACUUUAUCUCUGUCAGAUAUAAUAGAUUAAGGAAUGCCAUGAAGUUUGAUUAUGUUAUCGACAAAACAACUUGCUACCAUCUUAGAAUUAUAAUUAGCGGGUAGAGCUCCCAAAUAACAAAAUUUUGUCAACCUGUCCACUACCACUACAAUUACUAACUUCCCUUUUACCACUGGUAAAUUUGUUAUGAAAUCAGUGGUGAGAUCCUCCCACACAGCCUCGGGUGUUGGAAGUGGCAUUAGAAGGCCUUGAGGCUUCCUUGCAAGUGUUUUCAUUUUUUGGCAUACUACACAAUUUUCUACAUAUGAUCUGAUUUCUUUUGCAAUCCCAUUUCACCAGAAUAUUAACCUUAUCCUCUUAAUGGUUCUCUCUAUGCCCGAGUGUCCCCCGAUGAUACUAUCAUGAUAUUCUCUUAAGAUAUCUUUGAUUAAAAUGAAAUUAGGAGAAAUCACAUAUCUGCCCUUUUUAAGGAGUAAGCUUUCUUUAAUAUUGAAUGUAUCAUUUUUUCUUUCCCACUUAAAAUAUUCUGUUUCAGAUCUAACAGUUCGGUACAUGUAGAUUGUUUUUCAAUUACUUUGGUUAUCAGCUCACUGAUUAAAAUACUUAAACUCAGGAUUGAUCCUUCAGACUAAGUGAGAUUUAAUUCAGAUUUUUCAAACUGUUUAGAUAGGAUUUGCAAGCAAAUUUUACGAUGAAGCAUAUGUAUAUUGAGUGAUUGAAAGGGGGAAGUAAACUAAGCAUCAACUCAAAUAAUGGAGUUAUUUGCACUUUCAAAUCUCAAUACAUCAACAUUAGUAAUACAAAUGUCAUCAGAGUUGAGAUAUAAUUAUCAAGGAAGGAUCUUUCUUCUGCGACGGGGUGUUUCUCUCUUUGCGUACAUUUUCUCCAGUUCAGUUAACUCCCGGCUUGAACCAUCAGGCAAGCUCACAAAUCUAAAGGCACUUCCACUUCUACAUUUGUCUCGUGGACCAAGCUUCUCAAAGGUUACAUUCCAUCCUUUUUCUGGUAUUCUCCUGCUAUAUUUAUGGUGAAAUACCUCACCAGCAAUCUGAGGAAGCAGCCAACAGUUUGGUCAGGGUAAUAAAAAACAAUGCAAGGCAGCUAUCUCACAUUACUUUGUAAUUUAUUAUCAGGUGAAAAUGAUUAUGAAAUUAAGAUGCCUAGUCCACUGGGUUUUGUACAGCUCAAAUGUACAAAGUGGGAAGUGGUUUCCCCUUACUCCAUUGGUGCCCUUUUGUGACAGCAUACAAUCAGAUCAUGUCGAAUCGUGCAACCAGAAAACCGACACCACAUUUAAUUUCAUAAAUCACUUAUAUAACCAACAUCUAGAAAAAUAGAUCAUUUUGUAAUAACUAAUGAUAUUGCAAACCUUAAAUUACUUAUAUAUCUAAUCCCAAUCCUAAAGACCUAGACACGUCCAAACAAUUGGUUCAUAUUGUUAGUUAUUCUGAAAAUCAAAUAAUUAAUUACAGAGAAAUUACUUAAGUUAAAAUACCAAUUACAAGUUUACAAUCAUCAAUGUGAAAAGCAGUAUACUAAAUAAUGAAAAACAGCACAUGAUAGGAAUGCCUUAAUGAAGAAAACAUCAUGCGGCCAAUGAUUGUCAUCUAGUCUUUUGAUUUCAUUUUUCUACUGGAUGAAUAAAAAACAGUUAAUGUCAGUGUGGAGGCAAUUAAUUUAAUCAAAAUUAUACUAAAGAAAAGUUCAAGGAGGUGAGGUGAGGUGACCAUGUCUUCUUACUUGAGUUUUUACUUGAUUAUUUUAGUGUUUGUUACGAUCACACUGGAUACCCAUGCUUGCAAGAGUGACAUGAAGACAGAGAUCCUUAGAAGAGAGAUGGAGGCAGCUCCAAGUAGAGAACGGGAUGAAGAAGUUAUCAUAGAGCCAACGGACAAGGAGGUUGCUGCUGAGAAAAAU
Molecule: long non-coding RNA, 3095 nt
Filed under: Zostera marina
Lineage: Eukaryota; Viridiplantae; Streptophyta; Magnoliopsida; Alismatales; Zosteraceae
Description: long non-coding RNA (ZMAR_LNC005049)
Source: RNAcentral